CCAAGGAGUCUAAUUAGGCAUCAAGUCGAUCGGUCUUGAUAGGCCAGACGGGUGGAUUCGUCCACCGAUUGAGGCGUAGAGAAAUCAAAUCAUGUGAUCAUGGGGGCAAUACCAGCCCUUAUGCGCAACAUGUGCCUGUUCGUAUAGUAAUGUUAGCAAUAACUUACUGGGCGGAGCAAAGAGAUGCCUGAUUGGUACCCGAAAGAUGGUGAACUAUGCUUGGGCAAAUUGAAGCCAGAGGAAACUCUGGUGGAGGAUUGUAGCGAUUCUGACGUGCAAAUCGAUCGUCAGACCUGAGUAUAGGGGCGAAAGACUAAUCGAACCAUC
RNAcentral lists this ribosomal RNA (327 nucleotides) under Platyphytoptus sabinianae. Its description in RNAcentral is "eukaryotic LSU rRNA". It matches the Rfam family "Eukaryotic large subunit ribosomal RNA", at positions 666 to 944 of the family's 3401-position model. The record is from RNAcentral. Lineage: Eukaryota; Metazoa; Arthropoda; Arachnida; Trombidiformes; Eriophyidae.